AGAGAGAGAGAGAGAGAGAGAGAGAGAGAGAGAGAUAGGGGGAGGAGGGACUGUAGGUGAACUUGAAGGAGAAAUAGGAGGAAUGCUCUUUUAAAAGGCUCUAGUUGAAGUUGUAAGGGUUUUUAAGGGUGUUCUUAAGGCUCUAGUGAUAGAUUAACAACAGGAGAAACACUCUUUUAAAAGGCUCUAGUUGAAAUGAUGCAGGUUUUUAAGGAUGUUUUUAAGGUUCCAGUAACAGAUUAACAAUAUUUCUGCAUUACUGACAGGAGAAACACUCUUUUAAAAAAGCUCUAGUCGAAGAUGUAAGGUUUUUAAGGGUGUUUUCAGGGUUGAGGUGACAGAUUAACAACAUCUGCAUUACUGACAGGAAAAACAUUUUUAAAAGACUCUAGUAAAGUUUUUUUUUAUUUUUAUUUUUUUUAAGGUUGUAGUGACAGAUUAACAACAUUUCUGCAUUAUUGACAGGAGAAACACUCUUUUAAAAGGUUCUAGUUGAAGUUGUAAGGGUUUUUAAUAUUUUUUAAGGUUGUAGUGACAGAUUAACAACAUUUCUGCAUUAGUGACAGGAGAAACACUUUUGAGAACCUUGCAAACCAUCACUGUGGCUUUAUGAAACAGUCAGUGGUGAGAGACCUGACCUGAGCCUGUGUGACCUGAUCUUCUCCAGGCUCGUGUGUGUGUGUGUGUGUGUGUGUGUGUGUGUGUGUGUGUAAGUUUGUUUACUACUACUACUAUUACUCAUAAAAGUAAUAAUAAUGACAAUAAUUAUGAUACUACUACUACUACUACUACUACUACUACUACUACUACUACUACCACUACUACUACUACUACUGCUGCUACUGCUACUACUACUACUACUACUACUACUACUACUACUACUACUACUACUACUACUACUGUAAUAGGCACUACUUUGCAUGAAGAAAAGAAUAGAUAUAAGAGUAGAAUUAGAAGGAAAUUAGAGACGCGUUAGAGAAUCUAACGCUAGUAUUAGAAGAAUUGUGCAAGAGGUGAACAGGACGUUGAAUUGAUAACAGCCAAGCUUAACUAUAAACAGCCGGUUUGUUUUAUGCCCAUUCAGCUUGUUAAAGGCUUACCUCCCAUUGGGUGGAGAUUAAAACGUCAUUCAUUUUUCUUGAUAUUAUUGGCUAUGGAAAUCUAUGACGUAUGCCUCGACACCUCUCGGACAAUCCUCAAGUCACUUUUAGAGUAGCAGCCACUCACCAAGAUAGUACAGACGCACAACCCGUGUCGCUCUGACUUGAGUUACUCAAAGACUUAGACUCUGAUCAAGACGCAAGAGUCUUAAUAACUUUGCUUAUAACCUUUGUCGUGUGAUUGAGUAGUAAAGAAGAACACUGUUGUUGAGCUGUAAGACAAUUUAUAUUUUCUAAAUAAACUGCAACACGCCAGACUAACUUUGAUAACCCACUUGCACAAGGAUGUUGUGAGUGAUGAUUAUCGAGAAAGAAAAUCGUCGUUUCCGAUACCAAGCUACGCCCACCGACACAUAGUCGCCACAGAGGCUAGAGACAGUGUGCACAUAUACAUGACAACACAGUGGUGGCAACACAGUGGUGUUCAGGUUAUUGGGAUUCUGAAGCCUAAACAACCUCCGAAGAGUAAGAAGAGUUUACAAACAUUAAAAACAAACAGCAGCAACGGAAACAACAGCAAUAACGCUUCCCCAGCCAACACAGUGAGUCAAGGUCAACCCCACAAGUGUGCACAAGUCCCGCACCGCGCAGCACCGCGCCACACCUCAUCACACUCCCGAGCCACUACUCACACGAUCAAACUCAAGAGUAACUCUCAAUUAAUACCACCAAACAACGAGACCAAUAUCUAAAUACUAAGAAGAGACUUAGAAGAGGAAACCGCAGCCAGAGACGAGAGCAGGAUCAGCGCCGCCCCAGCAGCCGCCGCACACAGCCAUCAGCCACAGCACGCCGCCACCAGCAGCCGCUGCACACAGCCAUCAGCCACAGCACGCCGCCACUAGCAGCCGCCGCUCAAGAGGACAUCGCUACUCACUUUUCUAUACUUUGGUAACAGUAUUCAACCUGUCAAUCAUUAAUGUAAUUAUAUUCAUGUAAUACUUUAUCUAAUACCCAGUGCACCAACAGUUUGUGUAUGCCUGAGGAAUGACUGAGCACGAAGAAACAUUGAGUAUAACUGCCUUAUUGUAGAGCGUCUCCCAACAUUAUCACACACACUACCCAUCAUCAUAGGACAAGGUAAAGAUGAAACAAGUGGCAUGCAUGUUCUCAGCUAUAGUAGUUCUAGCAACAGCCUGGGACCCUGUGAGGCCCGGAGCUUUAGUAAGGAAAAUCGGCGACAUGAUCAUUGUGAACCAAUCAGUAAGAGUACUAUUGAAAUUUGACAAUAUAAAUGUUGUAAGAGAAAAUGUCAGACAUAUCAAUAAUGGGUUACAGAUGGUAAAAGACAAAUUGAUAAUUAGUGAGAUAUCCAAUGUGAGAUUAGAGAAGAAAUUAGAUGCUAUACAGACGAAGGUCACCAAAAUAGAAAAUAACUCCCUACAUAGCAAAAGCAAAAGAGGAGUAGGUAUCGCAAUAGCGAUCGGAUCAUUAGUAGGUCUUGGAGUAACAAAUAUUGGUUUGUAUGCAGAACUUCGCUCAAAUGUAAAUAAUCUACAAAACUCAGUGUCCAGAAUCGAUGUCUUACAAGAAGAAACAGAAGAUAUACAACUUACCAUAGAUGAGAUGAUUAAUAGCAUAGAAACCUUAAGCACAGAGAACUCUAAAUUGAAGGAAUCCCUGGAAAUUUUCAUGGUCUUGGAUCAGUUGCACAUUAAGAUAAAUUAACUAAAUGCUGAAAUGGAACAGUUAAUUCAAGACUUAGUUACGGCUAAUGCUGGACAUGUUACAUACACAUUAUUUUCAAUAUCACAACUUCUAAACAUAACUCAACAAGCAAAAUAUGAGUGAAAUUUUCAACCUUUCUUUGAUUCAAAUAAUAUUGCUCUAUAUUAUCCCAUUCUUAAUUCAUUCAUAAAUGAUACUGGAGUACUCAUUGACAUACCAUUUUCAUCAGAAUUGAAAUAUCACAUGUAUAAUCUGAUUCCUUUCCCAAUGAAAUUUAAUAGUUCCAUUAUAACAGUUGAUACUGAUAUAACAUCUCCAACAAAUUACAUCCUAUCCAUAAAUGGUUUGAAAGAAAGUGUUAUAGUAAAUGAUGAUCUAUUGCACUGUAAGAAAACUAACGUAGACUUGUACAUUUGCUCAGCUACUUAUUUUACUUUCAAUGAAGCAUUGAGUCACUCAUGUGCCGCAUCCUUGGUGAAAAAUAUAUCCAUUGUACGUAAUUGUCAUUUCAAGGAAGAAACUCCCACACCACGUCAUGAAACUAUCCAGGAAUCUCACUACUUAUAUUUUCCAAACAAGACAACUGUAUCAGUCAUAUGCCCAGGAUUUCAACCUCAGAUAGCAUCAAUAGAAGGCUUAUAUCGUGUACCAGAUCAAUGUGAACUUCAUAGCCCCACACUCACAACAGUAGCAAAUAGGAAAAAGACUAUUGUAAUUAAUAGAGAAAAUGUUUUACAGGACAUUACUAUGAAAUUCCCAGACAGAGCUCCUCCUUUGAAAAUCAGAAAGAUUAACAAGAAAAGACUUGUAACGCAAGUGUCAAAAACACACAAAGGUACUAUGUGGUAUAUAAUAUAUGUACUUCCAUUUGUCUUGAUAGUCACAUUGAGCACAAUAUCAAUGAUACUUAUGUACAAGAAACUCAAGAAUUCAUCCAUCGAAAUGAAACACAUUUCCGAGCCGUAACCCUGUGAUAGGUAUGUAAAGAACAGCAAGCAUGUAAUAUUGUAAAUAGAAUAUGUAUGUAAAGAACAGCAAGCAUGAAAUACUGUAAAUAGAAUUUAUUGCAUAACAAUUUUGUCGGGACGACAAACGGUAGCUGCCGAGCCCUGUAAUAGGCACUACUUUGCAUGAAGAAAAGAAUAGAUAUAAGAGUAGAAUUAGAAGGAAAUUAGAGACGCGUUAGAGAAUCUAACGCUAGUAUUAGAAGAAUUGUGCAAGAGGUGAACAGGAAGUUGAAUUGAUAACAGCCAAGCUUAACUAUAAACAGCCGGUUUGUUUCAUGCCCAUUCAGCUUGUUAAAGGCUUACCUCCCAUUUGGUGGAGAUUAAAACGUCAUUCAUUUUUCUUGAUAUUAUUGGCUAUGGAAAUCUAUGACGUAUGCCUCGACACCUCUCGGACAAUCCUCAAGUCACUUUUAGAGUAGCAGCCACUCACCAAGAUAGUACAGACGCACAACCCGUGUCGCUCUGACUUGAGUUACUCAAAGACUUAGACUCUGAUCAAGACGCAAGAGUCUUAAUAACUUUGCUUAUAACCUUUGUCGUGUGAUUGAGUAGUAAAGAAGUGCACUGUUGUUGAGCUGUAAGACAAUUUAUAUUUUCUAAAUAAACUGCAACACGCCA
Long non-coding RNA from Scylla paramamosain (green mud crab), 4453 nucleotides. RefSeq lists it as uncharacterized. The transcript is spliced from 2 exons. Lineage: Eukaryota; Metazoa; Arthropoda; Malacostraca; Decapoda; Portunidae. The record is from RefSeq and is a predicted model, not a curated record.